AAUUUGAAUCGCUGCCACAGGGAUCUUCUCUGUGACGAUCUCCUCUGACUGAUCUCCUCUGGCUACGACCUCCUCUGACCGAUCUCUUCCGGCGACGACCUCCUCCAACGACGACCUCAUUCGGCGAUGUUUUCCUCAGUGGCGAUCUUCUCUGGUGACCUCUCUCCUCCAACGACAAUCUCCUCCUACAACGGUCUCCUCCUGCGAUGGUCUCCUCCAUCGACAUCUCCUACUGCAAUGAUCUCCUCCGGUGGCAUUCUCCUACGCCGGCAAUCUCAUCCAUCGAGCUAAUGUGCUGUGAGAUUCUCCUCCCACAAGCUCGCUAGAAUACAUGAUAGAUUUUGCGAAAUGGCAACUACAACUACUAAAAUUGUAGAAGCUAGGGUUUCUGAAGAAGGGAUCAUUAAAACAUUUCAUAAUGACGAUGAUGAAGCGCUCGAUGCUGCGGAGAAUGGAGUUGCGGGAGCAGAUGACUACGAGGUUGUGAGGAAGGUGGGAAGAGGGAAAUAUAGCGAGGUCUUUGUGGGUGUUUACUCCACCGAUAAUGAAAAAUGCAUCAUCAAGAUCCUCAAACCCGUCAAGAAGAAAAAGUUAAAGAGGGAGAUCAAAAUAUUGCAUAAUCUUUGUGGAGGUCCCAAUGUUAUAAAGCUGCUUGACAUUGUUAGGGACUAGCAAUCAAAGACCCCAAGCCUUAUAUUUGAAUAUGUCAAUAACACUAAUUUUACAGUGCUCUACCCCACCCUGUCAGAUUAUGAUAUUCAAUAUUAUAUCUAUGAACUUCUAAAGAAUGGCAUAUGAGAAUCACCUGUAGUUGCUGAUGAGCAACCUAAUGUUCCUAUGUGGAAUCCUGUGUUGUUCAAGCUUCCAUCAGAUGAGAUACUUCUGUUCUACAAAAUAGGCCAAGAAGUUCAAAAGUAAAGCUUCUAUAUUGAAAGUUGAAAUAGUUGGUUUGACCUAUCCUCUUAACUGUCUCAGCAAGUUUAGCCAUUGACUUCAUGUGGUAGCUGUCUUGAAGGUAACUAAUUCGGCUAUCUAUAUCAUGUUAAGCUUUAUUUGCAGAGCUUGGUUUAGUUUGUGAAGAAAAGGUUACUCUUAGUCCAUAAAAGGGAUCUUGAUAACUCUAAUCUAUCUAGACAUUUGGUAUCUAAACUUGGGAAGCUUAAGUAUUAUAUAUAUAUAAGUCAAAGAAAGUUCUUUGGAGACUAGGAAUUUUGGUGGGUUAAUUUCUCAAGCUCAUGCCAAUGCUACUAGAAAUGUUAUGAUGCCAGAAGUUGACUUUUUAGCUCACAGCUCAUGUCCUUCGAGCCCUUUUUUUUUGCAUGCCUAUGCUAAUACUUCUCAAAGUAAUAAUUAGUGGAUAUAAUUUGCUUAAUUAUUUGUAUAGAAAUUAUUACUUCUAAUUUCUAGUACUAAUAAAAAAAUUAUAUAUUAUGUUUGAUA
RNA transcript from Arachis duranensis, 1440 nucleotides. It is a transcript of the gene named inactive casein kinase II subunit alpha-2-like, with no coding region annotated. Lineage: Eukaryota; Viridiplantae; Streptophyta; Magnoliopsida; Fabales; Fabaceae. The transcript has 7 exons. The record is from RefSeq and is a predicted model, not a curated record.